UUUCCGUAGAUGAACCUGCGGAAGGAUCAUUCAUAAUAAAGUGUUUUAUGGCACUUUUUAAAAAUCCAUAUCCACCUUGUGUGCAAUGUUAGAUCUCGUCAAUCUUGGCGAGAUUUUUAUACAUCAACUCAUUCUUUAACUAAUUUGUCUGAAAAAUAUUAUGAAUACUUAAUUCAAAAUACAACUUUCAACAACGGAUCUCUUGGCUCUC
RNAcentral lists this unclassified non-coding RNA (211 nucleotides) under plant metagenome. Its description in RNAcentral is "partial contains small subunit ribosomal RNA, internal transcribed spacer 1, and 5.8S ribosomal RNA". The record is from RNAcentral.